RNAcentral lists this ribosomal RNA (1137 nucleotides) under Thaumatomyia notata. Its description in RNAcentral is "partial 16S ribosomal RNA". The stretch from base 885 to 1044 matches the Rfam family "Archaeal large subunit ribosomal RNA", at positions 2544 to 2703 of the family's 2987-position model. Lineage: Eukaryota; Metazoa; Arthropoda; Insecta; Diptera; Chloropidae. The record is from RNAcentral.
CAGGGUUUAUUAAAUAUUUAACAUAUUUAUGUUAUUCUCGAAUUUAAAAGAGUUAAUGAAUUAUAAAAGUUAAUGUAAUAAAAUUAUUUUGUAUAAUUUGUUAGUAAUGAAAAGUUAUUCGUUUUUAAAUAUAUCUAGUUUUUUAAGAAAUAAAUUUAAUUUAUAAUUUUAAAUUGUAUUAAUUUAUUUAUUUAAUUUAAUAUAUUUAAAAUUAAAUAUUUUAUGGGAUAAGCUAUAAAAUAAAAUUUUAUAAGGUCAUUAAUAUUUAUAUAAAUAUAUGUUUAGAAUUAGCAAUUAUUUAUAAUUUUGUUAUAAAUUAUUUAUUAUAAUAUAUUAUUUAUUGGCCUUUAAUUAUUUAUUAAAAUUAUUAUUUUAAUUAAAUAUGUAAUGAAAUUAUGAUAAAAUUAGUAUAUUUUUAUGUUUUUAAAUAGAUAAGUAUGAAAGGUUUAUGUAAAGAAUUCGGCAAAUUUAAUGUUCGCCUGUUUAACAAAAACAUGUCUUUUUGAUUAUAUAAAAAGUCUGACCUGCCCAUUGAUAAAUAAUUUAACGGCCGCAGUAUAUUAACUGUGCAAAGGUAGCAUAAUCAUUAGUCUUUUAAUUGAAGGCUGGAAUGAAUGGUUGGACGAAAUAUUAACUGUUUCAUAUAAAUUUAAUAUAGAAUUUAAUUUUUUAGUCAAAAAGCUAAAAUUUUUUUAAAAGACGAGAAGACCCUAUAAAUCUUUAUAUAAUUUAAAUUAUUAAUUUUUUAAAUAAAUUUUAUUAUUAAUUUAAUUUAUAUUUUAUUGGGGUGAUAGUAAAAUUUAAUAAACUUUUAUUAAUAUAUUUACAUUAAUUUAUGAAUUAUUGAUCCAAUUUUAUUGAUUAAAAAUUUAAGUUACUUUAGGGAUAACAGCGUAAUAUUUUUGGAGAGUUCUUAUUGAUAAAAAUGAUUGCGACCUCGAUGUUGGAUUAAGGAAUAAUUUUAGGUGUAGAAGUUUAAAUUUUAAGUCUGUUCGACUUUUAAAUCCUUACAUGAUCUGAGUUCAAACCGGUGUGAGCCAGGUUGGUUUCUAUCUUUAAUUUAUUAAAAUAUUUUAGUACGAAAGGACCAAAUAUUUGAAUUAUAAAUUUUAUAUAAUGAAUAUUAUUAAAUUAAAA